GCCCAAUGUCGCACGUGCCUGUGGGCGUCCCCCGGUCCUUCGAAUGCGAGGGUCAUCCGGGUCGGUCACUGGAGGUUCAGCCUCCAGGUCGGUUUCGCUGCUGGCGAAAUCGUGGACGCCUUGAAGCAACGACGGUGCGGGCCUUU
RNAcentral lists this small RNA (146 nucleotides) under Aureimonas pseudogalii. RNAcentral describes it as "Alphaproteobacterial sRNA ar45". It matches the Rfam family "Alphaproteobacterial sRNA ar45". Lineage: Bacteria; Pseudomonadati; Pseudomonadota; Alphaproteobacteria; Hyphomicrobiales; Aurantimonadaceae. The record is from Rfam by way of RNAcentral.